GACGAACGCUGGCGGCGUGCCUAAUACAUGCAAGUCGAGCGAAGUUUUUCUGGUGCUUGCACUAGAAAAACUUAGCGGCGAACGGGUGAGUAACACGUAAAGAACCUGCCUCAUAGACUGGGACAACUAUUGGAAACGAUAGCUAAUACCGGAUAACAGUAUUUCUCGCAUGAGAGAUAUUUAAAAGUUGGUUAUGCUAACACUAUGAGAUGGCUUUGCGGUGCAUUAGCUAGUUGGUGGGGUAAAGGCCUACCAAGGCGACGAUGCAUAGCCGACCUGAGAGGGUGAUCGGCCACACUGGGACUGAGACACGGCCCAGACUCCUACGGGAGGCAGCAGUAGGGAAUCUUCCGCAAUGGGCGAAAGCCUGACGGAGCAACGCCGCGUGAGUGAAGAAGGAUUUCGGUUCGUAAAGCUCUGUUGUUAGGGAAAGAAAUGGAUAUGUAGUAAACUAUACAUAUAAAGAA
Molecule: ribosomal RNA, 467 nt
Filed under: Gemella morbillorum
Lineage: Bacteria; Bacillati; Bacillota; Bacilli; Caryophanales; Gemellaceae
Description: bacterial SSU rRNA
Rfam family: Bacterial small subunit ribosomal RNA
Source: RNAcentral